RNAcentral lists this ribosomal RNA (425 nucleotides) under uncultured bacterium. RNAcentral describes it as "bacterial SSU rRNA". It matches the Rfam family "Bacterial small subunit ribosomal RNA", at positions 354 to 796 of the family's 1533-position model. The record is from RNAcentral.
GUGGGGGAUAUUGCACAAUGGGGGAAACCCUGAUGCAGCAAUGCCGCGUGAGGGAAGAAGGUCUUCGGAUUGUAAACCUAAGUAGCCAGGGACGAUAAUGACGGUACCUGGAGAGUAAGCUCCGGCUAACUACGUGCCAGCAGCCGCGGUAAUACGUAGGGAGCGAGCGUUGUCCGGAUUUACUGGGUGUAAAGGGUGCGUAGGCGGGAUGGCAAGUCAGAUGUGAAAUACCGGGGCUUAACCCCGGGGCUGCAUUUGAAACUGUCGUUCUUGAGUGAAGUAGAGGCAGGCGGAAUUCCUAGUGUAGCGGUGAAAUGCGUAGAUAUUAGGAGGAACACCAGUGGCGAAGGCGGCCUGCUGGGCUUUAACUGACGCUGAGGCACGAAAGCAUGGGGAGCAAACAGGAUUAGAAACCCUAGUAGUCC